UCCGAAUGGGGAAACCCGGCAGGAUUCAUAUCCUGUCAUCAUACACUGAAUACAUAGGUGUAUGAGGCGAACGCAGGGAACUGAAACAUCUAAGUACCUGUAGGAGUAGAAAUCAACAGAGAUUCCGCUAGUAGCGGCGAGCGAACGCGGAUCAGCCCAAACCGGCAUCACUACGGUGAAGCCGGGGUUGUGGGGCCCCAACGUGGGAUUGAAGAAGAAUAGCUGAAGGUUCUGGAAUGUACCGCCAUAGUGGGUGAUAGCCCCGUAAGCGAAAUUCUGAUUCACCCUAGGGUGUCCCCGAGUACCACGGAACACGUGAAAUUCUGUGGGAAUCCGGGAGGACCAUCUUCCAAGGCUAAAUACUACC
This 367-nucleotide ribosomal RNA is filed under the name uncultured bacterium. Its description in RNAcentral is "bacterial LSU rRNA". It matches the Rfam family "Bacterial large subunit ribosomal RNA", at positions 113 to 477 of the family's 2925-position model. The record is from RNAcentral.